GAGUUUGAUCUUGGCUCAGGGUAAACGCUGGCGGCGUGCCUAAAACAUGCAAGUCGAACGGUGUCCUUCGGGGCACAGUGGCAGACGGCUGAGUAACGCGUGGGGUGACGUACCUAUCGAUGGGGAAUAACUGCCCGAAAGGGUGGCUAAUACCGCAUACGUCCACUCCUUCAGUGGGGUGGGGAAAACCGCAAGGUGUCGAUGGAGCGGCCCGCGUUCGAUUAGCUAGUUGGUGGGGUAACGGCCUACCAAGGCGACGAUCGAUAGCUGGUCUCAGAGGAUGAUCAGCCAGACUGGGACUGAGACACGGCCCAGACUCCUACGGGAGGCAGCAGUUAGGAAUUUUGGGCAAUGGCGCAAGCCUGACCCAGCAACGCCGCGUGGGUGACGAAGGUCUUCGGAUUGUAAAGCCCUUUUCUGAGGGAAGAUGAUGACGGUACCUCAGGAAGAAGCACCGGCUAACUACGUGCCAGCCGCCGCCGUAAU
This 486-nucleotide ribosomal RNA is filed under the name uncultured bacterium. Its description in RNAcentral is "bacterial SSU rRNA". It matches the Rfam family "Bacterial small subunit ribosomal RNA", at positions 9 to 524 of the family's 1533-position model. The record is from RNAcentral.